Molecule: ribosomal RNA, 439 nt
Filed under: Phycicoccus sp.
Lineage: Bacteria; Bacillati; Actinomycetota; Actinomycetes; Micrococcales; Intrasporangiaceae
Description: bacterial SSU rRNA
Rfam family: Bacterial small subunit ribosomal RNA
Source: RNAcentral
UCAGGACGAACGCUGGCGGCGUGCUUAACACAUGCAAGUCGAACGGUGAUCUUGAGAGCUUGCUCUUGGGUGAUCAGUGGCGAACGGGUGAGUAACACGUGAGUAACCUGCCCCAGACUCUGGAAUAACCUCGGGAAACCGUGGCUAAUACCGGAUACGAAACGGAGCUGCAUGGCUGCCGUUUGGAAAGUUUUUCGGUUUGGGAUGGACUCGCGGCCUAUCAGCUUGUUGGUGAGGUAAUGGCUCACCAAGGCGACGACGGGUAGCCGGCCUGAGAGGGCGAUCGGCCACACUGGGACUGAGACACGGCCCAGACUCCUACGGGAGGCAGCAGUGGGGAAUAUUGCACAAUGGGCGAAAGCCUGAUGCAGCGACGCCGCGUGAGGGAUGACGGCCUUCGGGUUGUAAACCUCUUUCAGCAGGGAAGAAGCGAAAGUGA